GGAUGCGAUCAUACCAGCACUAAAGCACGGAUCCCAUCAGAACUCCGCAGUUAAGCGUGCUUGGCGAGAGUAGUACUAGGAUGGGUGACCCCUGGGAAGUCCUCGUGUUGCAUCCC
RNAcentral lists this ribosomal RNA (116 nucleotides) under Ananas comosus (pineapple). Lineage: Eukaryota; Viridiplantae; Streptophyta; Magnoliopsida; Poales; Bromeliaceae. The record is from RNAcentral.